GACGAACGCUGGCGGCGUGCUUAACACAUGCAAGUCGAACGGAAAGGCCCUGCUUUUGUGGGGUGCUCGAGUGGCGAACGGGUGAGUAACACGUGAGUAACCUGCCCUUGACUUUGGGAUAACUUCAGGAAACUGGGGCUAAUACCGGAUAGGAGCUCCUGCUGCAUGGUGGGGGUGGGAAAUUUUCGGCGGUUGGGGUGGGACUGGCGGCUUAUCAGCUUGUUGGUGGGGUAGUGGCUUACCAAGGCUUUGACGGGUAGCCGGCCUGAGAGGGUGACCGGCCACAUUGGGACUGAGAUACGGCCCAGACUCCUACGGGAGGCAGCAGUGGGGAAUAUUGCACAAUGGGCGGAAGCCUGAUGCAGCAACGCCGCGUGCGGGAUGACGGCCUUCGGGUUGUAAACCGCUUUCGCCUGUGACGAAGCGUGAGUGACGGUAAUGGGUAAAGAAGCACCGGCUAACUACGUG
RNAcentral lists this ribosomal RNA (468 nucleotides) under uncultured bacterium. RNAcentral describes it as "partial 16S ribosomal RNA". It matches the Rfam family "Bacterial small subunit ribosomal RNA", at positions 28 to 507 of the family's 1533-position model. The record is from RNAcentral.